ACUCCUACGGGAGGCAGCAGUGGGGAAUAUUGCACAAUGGGCGCAAGCCUGAUGCAGCCAUGCCGCGUGUAUGAAGAAGGCCUUCGGGUUGUAAAGUACUUUCAGCGGGGAGGAAGGCGAUGAGGUUAAUAACCUUAUCCAUUGACGUUACCCGCAGAAGAAGCACCGGCUAACUCCGUGCCAGCAGCCGCGGUAAUACGGAGGGUGCAAGCGU
RNAcentral lists this ribosomal RNA (214 nucleotides) under uncultured organism. RNAcentral describes it as "partial 16S ribosomal RNA". It matches the Rfam family "Bacterial small subunit ribosomal RNA", at positions 335 to 541 of the family's 1533-position model. The record is from RNAcentral.